Molecule: long non-coding RNA, 781 nt
Filed under: Helianthus annuus (common sunflower)
Lineage: Eukaryota; Viridiplantae; Streptophyta; Magnoliopsida; Asterales; Asteraceae
Description: hypothetical non coding rna
Source: RNAcentral
GGGUUGUUGAUAGAAAAUAGUAGAAUGGAUGUGUAAAAACCAAGGUGUUAAGAAAUGGUAUGAAAUGUUUAAUGUAUGAAACAAGUUGCCUAACUUAGAAAAUGUUAUCAUUCUAAGUAUGGAAUUUUGAAAGAAUAAUGAACAUGAUGUAAAUACAUAAUUAUGCAUGCUAGAAGCUCAUGUAUGACUUUUGUGAUGAUGGAAUGAUAAAUUGUUAGAUUGAUUAGCAUUGUAGUAUUGUGAUACAUGUUGAACUCGUUAAGCGAUUGACACGUGAAUAGAAGUGUGAUUAGUGAUGCGUAUGAUUACGUAUACUAACUAUUGAAUGGAUGUAAUGGAAUGAGAUAAUAGGAACGUGUCAAGGAGAGCUCAAGCAUAGGAGGAUAACGGGUCAAGAUAAGGCAAGGUGACAAAUACACUUAUUGGAGUACUCAAGGUUAUGAAUGUCGGACUUUCAAAGUGUUGAUAUAAUAAUGAAACGGUUGAAUCUUGAAAGGAUAAUCGGAUUGAAGUAACUUAUGCGGUAAAUCCUCAAUUCAGGCGACUUGGAGAAUCGGAGCGAGCGCGUGUUCAUGUUAUGUCAUACCAAACGCUUCCGCUAGUUUGUCCAAAUGUUUUUGGUCCAAAAUUUGUUGUAAUGGUUUUUAGUAGUAUUUUGUUGAACGACUCGUAGAAUUGUAUCUAGUUUGAUUAUGAUUAAAACAGGGGUAUGCCCGUUUUACGGACGGGUCAUGCCCAAAUUUUGUUAAAAAUUAAUGCAUAUGUUAUUGAUACCAUCGUU